GGCUACGCCAGCCUUUAACAGGAGAACCCUUAUUUUGACAAUUGUUUACUUUUGUACCCCAGCUGCGAGACUUAGAACGCGCAUAAUUCUUUGACAGUUUGUUAUCUCAAGCACUAGGCUACAUGAAACCCACCGGUUUAAUCUAUCGUUCCUUGUACGCAGCUAAAGGCAAUCCCUUUUCACAAUCUUCCAUAAACGACCAAACUUCA
Molecule: long non-coding RNA, 209 nt
Organism: Engraulis encrasicolus (European anchovy)
Lineage: Eukaryota; Metazoa; Chordata; Actinopteri; Clupeiformes; Engraulidae
Exons: 2
Source: RefSeq, a predicted model, not a curated record